UACGUAGGCAGCGAGCGUUGUUCGGAGUUACUGGGCGUAAAGCGUGCGUAGGCGGUGUCUUAAGUUUGUUGUGAAAUCUCCCGGCUUAACCGGGAGGGUGCGGCGAAUACUGAGAUGCUGGAGUGCCGGAGAGGCAAGCGGAAUUCCUGGUGUAGCGGUGAAAUGCGUAGAUAUCAGGAGGAACACCUGCGGUGUAGACGGCUUACUGGACGGUAACUGACGCUGAGGCACGAAAGCGUGGGUAGCAAACAGG
Molecule: ribosomal RNA, 253 nt
Filed under: uncultured bacterium
Lineage: Bacteria
Description: partial 16S ribosomal RNA
Rfam family: Bacterial small subunit ribosomal RNA
Source: RNAcentral